GAUGAACGCUGGCGGCGUGCCUAAUACAUGCAAGUCGAGCGAACAGACGAGGAGCUUGCUCCUCUGACGUUAGCGGCGGACGGGUGAGUAACACGUGGAUAACCUACCUAUAAGACUGGGAUAACUUCGGGAAACCGGAGCUAAUACCGGAUAAUAUAUUGAACCGCAUGGUUCAAUAGUUAAAGACGGUUUUGCUGUCACUUAUAGAUGGAUCCGCGCCGCAUUAGCUAGUUGGUAAGGUAACGGCUUACCAAGGCAACGAUGCGUAGCCGACCUGAGAGGGUGAUCGGCCACACUGGAACUGAGACACGGUCCAGACUCCUACGGGAGGCAGCAGUAGGGAAUCUUCCGCAAUGGGCGAAAGCCUGACGGAGCAACGCCGCGUGAGUGAUGAAGGUCUUCGGAUCGUAAAACUCUGUUAUUAGGGAAGAACAAAUGUGUAAGUAACUAUGCACGUCUUGACGGUACCUAAUCAGAAAGCUACGGCUAACUACGUG
This 497-nucleotide ribosomal RNA is filed under the name uncultured bacterium. RNAcentral's name for it is "partial 16S ribosomal RNA". It matches the Rfam family "Bacterial small subunit ribosomal RNA", at positions 28 to 507 of the family's 1533-position model. The record is from RNAcentral.